AGGACGAACGCUGGCGGCGUGCCUAACACAUGCAAGUCGAACGGGACCAGGGGCAACUCUGGUUCAGUGGCGGACGGGUGCGUAACACGUGAGGAACAUGACUUUCGGCGGGGGAUAGCCGGCCCAACGGCCGGGUAAUACCGCGUACGACCUCUCGGGGACAUCCCCGAUUGGUGAAAGCAGCAAUGCACCGAAAGAGUGCCUCGCGGCCUAUCAGCUAGUUGGUGAGGUAACGGCUCACCAAGGCGACGACGGGUAGC
This 260-nucleotide ribosomal RNA is filed under the name uncultured bacterium. RNAcentral describes it as "partial small subunit ribosomal RNA". It matches the Rfam family "Bacterial small subunit ribosomal RNA", at positions 26 to 287 of the family's 1533-position model. The record is from RNAcentral.